Molecule: ribosomal RNA, 141 nt
Filed under: bacterium
Lineage: Bacteria
Description: partial 16S ribosomal RNA
Source: RNAcentral
AUUUUUGGGGGUGGGCGUAGGUGAGAUUUAGCAAAUCCCAAAGUCUAAUCCAGCUUUCCCGCUGUUGCGAGAAAGUCUUUGUAUUAAUAAAGUCUGUGUUAGUGGAGGGUGAGGUGACGUNCCNNGGAGANGNCNCNGUUG